CCCUUAGAUGUUCUGGGCCGCACGCGCGCUACACUGAUGCAUUCAACGAGCCUAUCCUUGACCGACAGGUCCGGGUAAUCUUUGAAUCUGCAUCGUGACGGGGAUAGAUUAUUGCAAUUAUUAAUCUUCAACGAGGAAUGCCUAGUAGGCGCAAGUCAUCAGCUUGCGUCGAUUACGUCCCUGCCCUUUGUACACACCGCCCGUCGCUCCUACCGAUUGGGUGUGCUGGUGAAAUGUUCGGAUCGGCCGUUUGUCGCGGUUUCCGCGUCAUGUGGCUGAGAAGUUCAUUAAACCCUCCCACCUAGAGGAAGGAGAAGGCGGAACA
This 325-nucleotide ribosomal RNA is filed under the name uncultured eukaryote. RNAcentral describes it as "partial 18S ribosomal RNA". It matches the Rfam family "Eukaryotic small subunit ribosomal RNA", at positions 1470 to 1796 of the family's 1831-position model. The record is from RNAcentral.